CUGUGGGUUUGGCCAUGGAAGAAGUUAAAUUCUCUCAGUGAUUUUGUGAACUUGGCUUUCUUUAUGAUUCCUGUCUAUCUUUCCCCCAAAGGCUAGUUACUGAGCAAAUUCCUGUGAGAGCCCCCGAUGACUGUAAAAACCACCCCCUGAUAUGUAUAAUGUUCCAGACUGCAACAUGCUCAUGAAGGGAUCCAGGAAAAGACCACAUGUUGCUAAAGGGUGUCAAAAUUAAAACCAAACCAAACAAAAAUCCAGGAACUCAAGAAAAAGCAAAAACACACAAACAAAACUGUUUCCUAUCUUUGUCAUCUUUGUCCCUUUGUCUCUGACUUGACUCCUAAAAGCUAACCUAUAGCAUGAUGAGAGCAAGCCUAGUUCAUGUGGCCUGUGACCAAUUGUGUGGAGUGCUUCAAUGUGCUUUCUUCCGGUGGGAAAAUCUCCAGAAAAAGGUCACAAACACAGAGCUGACCUGAGUCCUGCC
RNAcentral lists this long non-coding RNA (481 nucleotides) under Cricetulus griseus (Chinese hamster). Its description in RNAcentral is "lncRNA (ENSCGRG00000024970.1)". The record is from RNAcentral. Lineage: Eukaryota; Metazoa; Chordata; Mammalia; Rodentia; Cricetidae.